Molecule: ribosomal RNA, 460 nt
Filed under: uncultured bacterium
Lineage: Bacteria
Description: partial 16S ribosomal RNA
Rfam family: Bacterial small subunit ribosomal RNA
Source: RNAcentral
CCUACGGGAGGCAGCAGUGAGGAAUAUUGGUCAAUGGGCGCGAGCCUGAACCAGCCAAGUCGCGUGAGGGAUGAAGGUUCUAUGGAUCGUAAACCUCUUUUAUAAGGGAAUAAAGUGUGGGACGUGUACUGUUAUGUAUGUAACUUAUGAAUAAGGAUCGGCUAACUCCGUGCCAGCAGCCGCGGUAAUAAGGAGGAUUCGAGCGUUAUCCGGGUUUAUUGGGUUUAAAGGGUGCGGAGGCGGGCUUGUAAGUCAGCGGUGAAAGUCGCUGGCUCAACCAUAGAAUUGCCGUUGAAACUGGGAGGCUUGAGUGUGUUUGAGGCAGGCGGAAUGCGUGGUGUAGCGGUGAAAUGCUUAGAUAUCACGCAGAACCCCGAUUGCGAAGGCAGCCUGCCAAGCCAUGACUGACGCUGAUGCACGAAAGCGUGGGGAUCAAACAGGAUUAGAUACCCGAGUAGUC